RNAcentral lists this transfer RNA (64 nucleotides) under Xenograpsus testudinatus. Its description in RNAcentral is "tRNA-His". It matches the Rfam family "tRNA". Rfam says of the family: Transfer RNA (tRNA) molecules are approximately 80 nucleotides in length. The record is from RNAcentral. Lineage: Eukaryota; Metazoa; Arthropoda; Malacostraca; Decapoda; Xenograpsidae.
ACUUAAAUAGUUUAAAGAAAAAAUAUUAGUCUGUGGCACUAAAGAUGUAGAUUUACUUUAAGUA